Molecule: transfer RNA, 72 nt
Filed under: Camelus bactrianus (Bactrian camel)
Lineage: Eukaryota; Metazoa; Chordata; Mammalia; Artiodactyla; Camelidae
Also listed under: 2 other names
Rfam family: tRNA
About the family: Transfer RNA (tRNA) molecules are approximately 80 nucleotides in length. Their secondary structure includes four short double-helical elements and three loops (D, anti-codon, and T loops).
Source: Rfam by way of RNAcentral
GGGGCUGUAGCUUAGUGGUAGAGCACAUGAUUGGCAUGCAUGAGGUCCUAGGUUUAAUCCCCAGUGCCUCCA